GCACGUUGGAAGUCACGUUACCUGGAUACUGUCACCUGGAUACUGUCACCUGCUGGCUGACAGCGCUACAAGCCGAGAAGGACUCAGCCUGACAGUUGGUCAAGGUGAAAGCAUUACUUGUGUCUUAGUUCCGUCAGUCUUUAAUGUACAGUUUAGAGGGGAAAAUAUGUUGCCUGUUAGGUCCAUAUAUGUGCCCCGGUUUGGCUCACCGCUGGGCUCCAGUCAAAGAGAUGAACCACAACCAGACCAGACCACGGCCCGGACAACCCAGACUAAGCACCCAUCUCGGGACAAGCGCGGGAACAAGCACGGGAACAAGCGGGGUAACGUUGUAAAAGCUCGGGUCUUUUUAAAAGUUAAAUUACCAAAACUCAACAGCAGUUUGACCAACAAAGUGACACAAGAGGACAGACCGAAAAGAUGGACGAAGGAGCCAGCAGCAAAUACAACCACGACAACUGUGAGCCGAGGAGAUGCUGGCACUGAUUCUGACUCUGUUGUUAGAGAUGUUUUCUUCUUCUCCGAAAGACCCACCAGUACAGCCAUAAACGAGAAGGAAAAGGCCAAGCUUGCCGUUCUUAGGACCAUCUCCAAGAUGCUGGAGGAGAACCAGCUCAUCAGACAGAGACUGGCUGCUGACAACCAGGCCUACUGAGGCUGCACUGACUGACUGAAAUGUCCCACAAAAACCCUUAUUUGAUCUAAAAGACAUCAUCGGUAAUUCUACACAUCAAAUUUCUUACUAGGGGAUACAUUCCCUUAAGCAUGGGAUGUUGAAAACCAAUGUUUCAACAACAAGGCACAGUUUGGUGGUUCAUAUAUAUUUGUGUUCUCUGGUAAUGUGCUGUGAGACUAUACAGCAAUCUGCAUAACUGUGUUUGCUAAAGAGUACAGUCUUUUAAACAAUGUUGAAUUAACACUGUUGUUUUAUUAAAAGAGUCCAUAUUCAAGUCAGUGUGCAUAGAUUUGUAUUCAAAUUAGUCUGGUAUCAUGAUAUAGCAGCUGUUAGAUACAUGUUAAUUCAGUCCAGUACAGUGACUCUGCAGCACAUGCUGCCUUUGUGUGUAAGCUGGGA
Molecule: long non-coding RNA, 1075 nt
Filed under: Cottoperca gobio
Lineage: Eukaryota; Metazoa; Chordata; Actinopteri; Perciformes; Bovichtidae
Description: lncRNA (ENSCGOG00000013711.1)
Source: RNAcentral